Molecule: ribosomal RNA, 484 nt
Filed under: uncultured bacterium
Lineage: Bacteria
Description: partial 16S ribosomal RNA
Rfam family: Bacterial small subunit ribosomal RNA
Source: RNAcentral
AUUGAACGCUGGCGGCAGGCCUAACACAUGCAAGUCGAGCGGAUGACGGGAGCUUGCUCCUUGAUUCAGCGGCGGACGGGUGAGUAAUGCCUAGGAAUCUGCCUGGUAGUGGGGGACAACGUUUCGAAAGGAACGCUAAUACCGCAUACGUCCUACGGGAGAAAGCAGGGGACCUUCGGGCCUUGCGCUAUCAGAUGAGCCUAGGCCGGAUUAGCUUGUUGGUGAGGUAAUGGCUCACCAAGGCGACGAUCCGUAACUGGUCUGAGAGGAUGAUCAGUCACACUGGAACUGAGACACGGUCCAGACUCCUACGGGAGGCAGCAGUGGGGAAUAUUGGACAAUGGGCGAAAGCCUGAUCCAGCCAUGCCGCGUGUGUGAAGAAGGUCUUCGGAUUGUAAAGCACUUUAAGUUGGGAGGAAGGGUUGUAGAUUAAUACUCUGCAAUUUUGACGUUACCGACAGAAUAAGCACCGGCUAACUCUGUG